RNAcentral lists this transfer RNA (89 nucleotides) under Bacteroides sp. CAG:754. RNAcentral's name for it is "transfer RNA-Pseudo(CGG)". Lineage: Bacteria; Pseudomonadati; Bacteroidota; Bacteroidia; Bacteroidales; Bacteroidaceae. The record is from RNAcentral.
GAAAAUUUGGGGUAUUUGGUUAAAAUAUCUACUUGCGCACUACGUUCGGGACGUAGGGGUCGGGCGUUCGAGUCGCCUCAUUCCGACCA